This 403-nucleotide ribosomal RNA is filed under the name uncultured bacterium. RNAcentral's name for it is "bacterial SSU rRNA". It matches the Rfam family "Bacterial small subunit ribosomal RNA", at positions 362 to 758 of the family's 1533-position model. The record is from RNAcentral.
UAUUGCACAAUGGGCGCAAGCCUGAUGCAGCCAUGCCGCGUGUGUGAAGAAGGCCUUCGGGUUGUAUAGCACUUUCAGUCAGGAGGAAAGGUUAGUAGUUAAUACCUGCUAGCUGUGACGUUACUGACAGAAGAAGCACCGGCUAACUCCGUGCCAGCAGCCGCGGUAAUACGGAGGGUGCGAGCGUUAAUCGGAAUUACUGGGCGUAAAGCGUACGCAGGCGGUUUGUUAAGCGAGAUGUGAAAGCCCCGGGCUCAACCUGGGAACUGCAUUUCGAACUGGCAAACUAGAGUGUGAUAGAGGGUGGUAGAAUUUCAGGUGUAGCGGCGAAAUGCGUAGAGAUCUGAAGGAAUACCGAUGGCGAAGGCAGCCACCUGGGUCAACACUGACGCUCAUUACGAAG